UGCAUUGGCAGGCAGACUCUCAACCACUGCGCCACCAGGGAAGCCCACUGGUGUAGCUUUUUAUACUCACAUUGAAAAUUAAUCACUGAUUUAUUAUCCAUAUUAUUAUUUCAGUGAUUUAAACAUUGCAAGGGACUUGCAAUGUUAGAUAUGUGAAACAAUGAAAAUCUCAUAAAUAAUAAGUUUACAUUAUUAAAAACCAGAAAAAGAGAAUUUGGCUUUUAACUGCUUCUGGCUCAUCAGUUAAGAUUAUUUGAAUAUAUUUUCAACUUGGAUUGCAAAGUAUUAUAAUUUAAGAAUGGUACAAAAUAUAAUUUAAGGCUUUUAAAAAUCAUUAACAAAAACAGACACAUGUAUGACAGUGUUGCUCACAUCUCUUUUUUUUUACUGUAUGUUUACUUUUUCUUUUUUAACCAAACAGUUGUUUGUUUUUUUUUAAUACUUUUUUGGUUGGACCACACACCAUGUCGGAUGUUAGUUCCCCGACCAGGGAUGGAACCCAUGCCCCUUGCAUUGGAAGCGAGGAAUCUUAACCACUGUACUGCCAGGGAAGUCCCUGUAUGUUUACUUCUUAAUGUAUGGUGAGCAGGAAGCUACUGCCGUUGAAAAAGAUAGUGUUACAGUUCCCAAGAGGAGAGGGCACACCUUGCCACACAGGGACUCACAGGUGAGUUGAAGAAGCUCAAGGAAGAAGAGCACGAGUGACCCAGAGAAGGCACACGAGACACAACAGCCUUUCGGUCUGGAAGUCAAGGCUGAGGAGGAACGUUACCCCAAUCUAUAAAAUCGUGGUGAGUGUGGAUGGGUGCGGUGAACUUGGACUUGCUGUCAAAUUCCAAAACACUAAAAAUUAAGGCAGCAACCCUUGAAACUUAAGGAAAAGAAUAUUUAGAGGCAAAAAGCUCCAUAUUAUCUUCAUGCUGUGUAAGAAACAGGAUUGCGAGGUGGUAUAGGGAGACGUUUUGAAACUGAAUUGUUAAACGAGAAGGCAUGUUGGAGACCAUUUGUCCAAAUCCUCACUCCCCCCAUGGGGAAAGCGACCCAAGAGAGGUUAGGUGUCUUUGGCAAGGAGAUACAGUAAAAUCCAGGUAAUUGAAUAUUCAUUAAAUAAAUAUAAGCACUUACUCCUUCAGGCACUGUAUAAAGUUUAUUCUACACUGCCAUGUGAUUAGACAAAUCCGUUAACAAUUUCUAAAGGAAAGGUUUCUAAAGGGUUUUUGAUAGAAGCUAGGAAUUUAGGAGUAUAUCUGCUUUAACGCUGAGAACAUGAAAGAUAGUUUAGCAGUCCUACAAAACACAUACUAAUACAACUGUCCAAGACUGAACAAAGGCCAGGAUAGACCAUUAGAGAGAUUCACAUUUGAUUACCCUUAUUCAGUGGCUGGUUCUUAUAAAGGUGCCAAAAAUGAUGAAAUAAAUAUCUGCCUUUCGGGAUUGUCUGUGUGACAGCUCUCCAUUAGCAUAAAUAAACAGCAGUUAAUGAUUCACUGACUGUCAUUCCUGGGUCAUGUGCAGACAUGGAGGUGUGGCCUCAAAGACAAUUAAUGAGAAAACAUGUUUUUUGGCCUUAUGUUACAUUGUUGUAGUUAGAUUGGACUAUGUACACUGAGGCUUAGAAAUUUACAAUACUUUAAACUAAAGAAGGGGCUUCUCUGGCAGUCCAGUGGUUAGGACUCCAUGCUUCCACUGCAGGGGGCCUGGUUGGGGAAACAGGACCCCGUGUGCCGUGUGUGGUUAAUUAAAAAAAAAAAAACAACUAAUGAAUUUUAUUACAACGUGUCUUCUGUUGGCAUUCCUGAAUUUUUUCCUAGACCUUGUUCCUCCCAUUAAACUCAUUUUUAGAAAAGGCUCGGUAUUUGCUGGACUUUACAGAUUCAGACUUUAUGAAGAUUCAAACAAUGAAGCC
Delphinapterus leucas (beluga whale) is the source of this 1906-nucleotide non-coding RNA. NCBI's taxonomy places the organism in Eukaryota, Metazoa, Chordata, Mammalia, Artiodactyla, Monodontidae. The record is from RefSeq and is a predicted model, not a curated record.